Molecule: ribosomal RNA, 382 nt
Filed under: uncultured bacterium
Lineage: Bacteria
Description: bacterial SSU rRNA
Rfam family: Bacterial small subunit ribosomal RNA
Source: RNAcentral
GACGAACGCUGGCGGCGUGCUUAACACAUGCAAGUCGAACGGUGACGAGGAGCUUGCUCCUCCGAUCAGUGGCGAACGGGUGAGUAACACGUGAGUAACCUGCCCCAGACUCUGGGAUAACAGUUGGAAACAGCUGCUAAUACCGGAUACGAGACGGAGAGGCAUCUCUACCGUCUGGAAAGUUUUUUCGGUCUGGGAUGGACUCGCGGCCUAUCAGCUUGUUGGUGAGGUAAUGGCUCACCAAGGCGACGACGGGUAGCCGGCCUGAGAGGGCGACCGGCCACACUGGGACUGAGACACGGCCCAGACUCCUACGGGAGGCAGCAGUGGGGAAUAUUGCACAAUGGGCGAAAGCCUGAUGCAGCGACGCCGCGUGAGGGAU